ACCCCGGGUGUCAAGCGGGGCUACCCGAGUUUAAGCAUAUCAAUAAGCGGAGGAAAAGAAACUAACAAGGAUUCCCCUAGUAACGGCGAGCGAACCAAGGGAAGAGCCCGGCAUGAGAAUCGGGCGCCCUCGGCGUUCGAAUUGUAGUACUGAGAAGCGUCCUCGGCGACGGACCGGGCCCAAGUUCCUGGAAGGGGCGCCGAGAGAGGUGAGAGCCCCGUCGUGUCCGGACCACUGUCGCACCACGAGCCUUUGUCGGCGAGUCGGGUUGUUUGGGAAUGCAGCCACUAAUCGGGCGGUAAAUUCCGUCCAAGGCUAAAUAUGGGCGAGAGGCAGAUAGCAAACAAGUACGCGAGGAAAGAUGAAAAGGACUUUGAAAAGAGAGUCAAAAGUGCUUGAAAUUGUCGGGAGGGGAAGCGGAUGGGGGCCGCGAUGUGCCUCGGUCGAAUGUGGAACGGUGUGAGCCGGUACCCGAUUGACUCGAGGCAUGGACCGAUGCGGAUUGCGGUGGCGGCCCAAGCCCGGGCCUUCGAUACGUCGUGAAACGUCGCCAUUGCGAUUGUGGAGAUUCAGCGCGCGCCUUCGGCGUGCCUCGGCAUCUGCGUGCUCCGGGCAUCGGCUAGUGGGCUCCCGUUCGGCCGUCUUGAAACACGGACCAAGGAGUCGACAUGUGUGCGAGUCGAUGGGUGGCAAACCCGUAAGGCGUAAGGAAGGCGAUUGGUGGGAUCCGCUUUUGGGUGCACCGCCCGACCAGGCCUUGAUCUUACGAGAAGGGUUCGAGUGAGAGCAUGCCUAUCGGGACCGAAAGAUGGUGAACUAUGCCUGAGCGGGGCGAAGCGGAGGAAACUACGGUGGAGGCCCGCAGCGAUACUGACGUGCAAAUCGUUCGUCGACUUGGGUAUAGGGGCGAAAGACUAAUCGAACCGUCUAGUAGCCGGUUCCCUCCGAAGUUUCCCUCGGGAUAGUGGAGCUCAAGAACGAGUUCUAUCGGGUAAAGCCAAUGAUUAGAGGCAUCGGGCGCAACGCCCUCGACUAUUCUCAAACUUUAAAUAGGUAGGACGGCGCGAGCAUUUGCUUUGUUGAGCCACGCCACGGAAUCGAGAGCUCAGUGGGCCAUUUUUGGUAAGCGGGCGCGAUGCGGGAUGAGCCGGAAGUCGAGGUUACGGUGCCCAAUGCGCGCUAACCUAGAACCCACAAAGGGUGUUGGUCGAUUAAGACGGCGGACGGUGGUCAUGGAAGUCGAAAUCCGCUAAGGAGUGUGUAACAACUCACUGCCCGAAUCAACUAGCCCCGAAAAUGGAUGGCGCCGGGCGCGCGACCUAUACUCGGCGUCAAGGCAAGUGCCGAAGCCUUGAUGAGUAGGAGGGCGCGGCGGUCGGCCGCAGGCCUGGGCGUGAGCCCAGCGGAGCGGCCGUCGGUGCGAGAUCUUGGUGGUAGUAGCAAAUAUUCAAAUGAGAACUUUGAAGACCGAAGAGGGAAAGGUUCCAUGUGAGCGGCACUUGUACAUGGGUUAGUCGAUCCUAAGAGACGGGGAAGCCGUCGAUAGCGCUUCGUGCGCGAGCUUCGAAAGGGAAUCGGGUUAAAAUUCUGAACCGGGACGUGGCGGGCGACCGGCAACGUUAGGGAGUCCGGAGAGGCGUCGGCGGGGGCCUCGGGAAGAGUUAUCUUUUCCGUUUUAACGGCCUGCCCACCACUGGAAACGGCUCGGCGGAGGUAGGGUCCGGCGAGCUGGAAGAGCACCGCAGCGUCGCGUGGUGUCCGGUGCGCCCGGCGGCCCUUGAAAAUACGGAGGACCGAGUGCCGUCCACGCCCAGGUCGUACUUUCAUAACCGCAUCAGUCUCCAAGGUGAACAACCCUGCAGUCGAUGGAACAAUGUAGGCAAGGGAAGUCGGCAAAAUGGAUCCGUAACCUCGGGAAAAGGAUUGGCUCGAGGACUCGGGCACGGGGUCCCAAUCCAGAACCCGUCGGUGUCGGUGGGCCGCUCGAGGCUGCUUCUCGCGGCGAGCGGGUCGCGCGUGCUUACGGCCGGGGACAGUUAGGGAGCGGCUCCUUCGGGGGGCCUUCCUCGGGCGUCGAACGAUCGGCUCGUAAGGGCGAGUACGGACAAGGGGAAUCCAAAUGUUUAAUUAAAACAAAGCAUUGCGAUGGUCCUGCGGAUGCUCACGCAAUGUGAUUUACGCCAGCUAACUUCGAAUGUCAAAGUGAAGAAAUUCAACCAAGCGCGGGUAAACGGCGGGAGUAACUAUGACUCUUUAAGGUAGCCAAAUGCCUCGUCAUCUAAUUAGUGACGCGCAUGAAUGGAUUAACGAGAUUCCCAGUGUCCUGUCUACUAUCCAAAUAAACCACGACCAAGGAACGGGCUUGGCGGAAAUCGGCGGGGAAAGAAGACCUGUUGAGCUUGACUCUAGUCCGACUUUGUGAAAUGACUUGAGAGGUGUAGGAUAAGUGGGAGCCGGAAACGGCGAAAGUGAAAUACCACUACUUUUAACGUUAUUUUACUUAUUCCGUGAAACGGAGGCGGCAAUGCCCUUCUUUUAGAAGCCAAGGUCCGCGUGCGUGGCCGAUCCGGCGGAAGACAUUGUCGAGGUGGGGAGUUUGGUGGGCGGCACAUCCGUUAAAAGAUAACGCAGGUGUCCUAAGAUGAGCUCAACGAGAACAGAAAUCUCGUGUAGAACAAAAGGGUAAAAGCUCGUUUGAUUCGAUUUCCGAUGAAUACGAACCGUGAAAGCGUGGCCUAUCGAUCCUUUAGAUCUUCGGAAUUUGAAGCUAGAGGUGUCGAAAAAGUUACCACGGGGAUAACCGGCUUGUGGCAGCCAAGCGUUCAUAGCGACGUUGCUUUUUGAUCCUUCGAUGUCGAUUUCUUCCUAUCAUUGUGAAGCGGGAAUUCACCCAAGUGUUGGAUUGUUCACCCACCAAUAGGGAACGUGAGUGGGUUUAGGCAGGUCGUGAGACGGAGUUAGUUUUACCCUACUCGAUGAUAGUGUCACAAUAGUAAUUCAACCUAGUACGAGAGGAACCGUUGAUUCGCACAAUUGGUCAUCGCGCUUGGUUGAAAAGCCCGGUGUGAAGCUACCGUCUUAUUUGGAUUAUGGUGACCGAACGCCUAAGUCGAAUCCGGGCUAGAAGUGAUGCAUGCGCUUGUCGCUCGAUUGCCGACCUGCUUGAUGAGGACUUGUUCCCCCAGGGCACGUGUCGUUGGUGAAGCCUCACGGUGGAUGAACCGGUGCGGGCCGCCUUGAAGCACAAUUACUAUUGAGCGACGAGUAGAAUCUUUUGCGACGACUUAAAUACGCGACGGGGUAUUGUAAGUGGCGAGUGGCACUUGUCGCCACGAUCCACCGAGAUUCAGCCUUGUCGCCCGAUUCGU
Molecule: ribosomal RNA, 3368 nt
Organism: Syzygium oleosum
Lineage: Eukaryota; Viridiplantae; Streptophyta; Magnoliopsida; Myrtales; Myrtaceae
Source: RefSeq, a predicted model, not a curated record